Molecule: non-coding RNA, 46 nt
Organism: Struthio camelus australis
Lineage: Eukaryota; Metazoa; Chordata; Aves; Struthioniformes; Struthionidae
Source: Rfam
CCUUAGGCUGUUUUUACAGCCAUGUAAACUAAUGUAAAAGAACAGU